RNAcentral lists this long non-coding RNA (666 nucleotides) under Homo sapiens (human). RNAcentral's name for it is "non-protein coding lnc-MORN3-1:1". The record is from RNAcentral. Lineage: Eukaryota; Metazoa; Chordata; Mammalia; Primates; Hominidae.
ACUUUUCCUGGAAGCGCCCGGCUGCCCGCUCCGGCUCCUGGCGCCGCCCCUCUCCGCAGCUGCUCCCGUGGCCCUGCUCCUGGAGCUUGGACUCCUGGGUCGGGCCGCCUGAGGUCACCUCUGGGCGCCUCCUGAGGCCCAUAUCCCCUUUGGAACAAGGUGGCUCAAGGUCUGUAGGAAAAAGAGCGGCUGACGUCUGGAGUUCAAGCAGUGUUUAUUUGGCGCCCACUGGGUGCCAACACUGGUCUAGGUGCUGAGGCUGGGUAGGGUGGUGAACGAGAUGGACAAAACCUGUCUGUUAACCACUUUGUCCACCUGUGUUCACCAGCAUCUGAUACGUAUUGAGGUGACCGGUUCCUGAUUUAUUAUUUUUUUAUUACUGGGUUCAAGCAAUUCUCCUGCCUCAGCCUCCCGAGUAGCUAGGAUUACAGGCUCCCGCCACCAUGCCCUGCUAAUUUUUGUAUUUUUAGUAGAGAUGGGGUUUCACCAUAUUGGCCAGGCUGGUCUCAAACUCCUGACCUUGUGAUCCGCCCGCCUCGGCCUCCCAGAGUGCUGGGAUUACAAGCGUGAGCCACCGUGCCCGGCCACCUGAUAUUUUUUAAACCAGUGAAUCUUCAAACCUAUUCAGCAAGUGUCUUCUGAGCAACUAUUACGUGCUACGCUGAG